This 264-nucleotide unclassified non-coding RNA is filed under the name plant metagenome. Its description in RNAcentral is "partial contains small subunit ribosomal RNA and internal transcribed spacer 1". The stretch from base 1 to 54 matches the Rfam family "Eukaryotic small subunit ribosomal RNA", at positions 1778 to 1831 of the family's 1831-position model. The record is from RNAcentral.
GGAAGUGAAAGUCGUAACAAGGUUUCCGUAGGUGAACCUGCGGAAGGAUCAUUACCGAGUGAGGGUUUCUCUGAAGCCCAACCUCCCACCCGUGUAUACCGUACCCUGUUGCUUCGGCGGGCCCGCCUCACGGCCGCCGGGGGAUCUCGCGUCCCCGGGCCCGCGCCCGCCGAAGACCCCAACACGAACACUGUCUGAAAAGUGCAGUCUGAGUCGAUUGUUACCAAUCAGUCAAAACUUUCAACAAUGGAUCUCUUGGUUCCG